GGACACUGAGCAUCCUUCAGUGCUCUAUUGCUCAGCUCUUCACUUCUCCUUCGAUACCCUGCUCAAUGAUGGCUUUUGGAAUUAUGCUCCUCUUAGGUGGUAAGUGGGGCCUCAGAGCUGGAAGAGGUCUGGGCGGGGGCGUCUCUGUCUGAUAGGGCAUUCUGGGGCUGGUGGUCAGCUCAUAUAGCUCUGUGGAGGAGGUGAGGCAAGGGAGUGCCUUAGUGUCUAGAUUCUGGUGUGGAAAGAGGAAUGGCCUGGAAUCAGGGGAGGGUCAUAACCUGAGCAAAGAUGAGAUAAGAUGGACUCAUAGGCUAAGUUUGGGUGAAGAAUAAGCUACUUCUCCACAUUCCCCAAGGCUUCCCCCCACCUUCUGUCAGGCCCCUGGUGUGUGUGUGUGUGUGUGUGUGUGUGUAUGUGUGUUGGUAUGGUUGACAGGAGUCAGCCUCAGAGCCCCAGGGGGGAAGGCCAUAGAAGUCACUAGGGAGGGGAAACUUUGGAUAUCUCAUCAUCCUUGGUCCUUGAUUUUGAUUUCAGGUAGGUUGUUCCACGACUGCCAAGAGAAUAGUCCAGAAAUUGAACCUGUAACAGGAUCACAUUUCUGUGUCAUUUGAAAUCAUUUGUGUGUCAGUCAAAAAUCAGAUUCCACACAAAAAUCCAGACUUUCAGCUUCUCUUGAGAAAUGGGAAGGUCUGGAGCUCUGAAUUCUAGACCCUGGUAAUGCUUACCUCCUUUAAAAGGGCCACAUGCUCUAAGUGCCCAUAAUUCCCUGGUACUCACACCACCCACUUCACUCACUGAUGUCACCCUCUUGGCCUCUGAGACAUUUCAGUCUGAGACUUUUGGCAUCAUCCUACUUGUCUGGUCAUAGGUUCUUUUUUCAGACUCAGAAAUAGAAUCAUCCUUUGAGGAGAUUUGGGAUGUGAAGCUCCCUUGCAUGUGGCCAUGGUAGGAUUAUGGCACCUUCAACAUCUGGCCUUUUCCCAGAACCCCAAGAUUCAAUUGUUUGGACCUUGCCUGUCACAUCCUGGCCUAAUGCUUUAUAUUCUUAGAGCUUCCCUACUUUGGGGUUGGAGUUGACUCCUCAAUCCAGAGACAGCUGGGAAUUCUAGUAGAAAUGGAGAAGAAACCUGCUGUCUAGGAGUGAGAGUUGUGGGAAAAGCCCUUGAAAUGUAGGGGGCCUUCCACUGAGGUUUUUGCGCUUAGUCACCAGAGAGGAGAAUGUGAAGGAUCAGGAGAGUGGGUUGGAAUCCUGGCUAUACCAGGGACUUCCUGUGCAGUUCUGGGUCAGCCAACAAAUAGUAAUUAGUCACCUGUUAAGGGCCAGGCACUGCCUCAGGCACCAACACAAGAUGGUUGCAGUCCUUGUUGUCUUAGAGCCUAGCACCAAGGAAGGGGGGCAUGGGAAACACAUAAGAAUAAAUAAUUAAUCAAAAAAUUCUAAGUCUGUUUCCCCAUCUGGACCUUAGGGUGGACCAUGAUGUAGUUAUUAAUGGUGUCCCUUUCAUUCUCAGAAGGUCUCAGUUUAGGAAAUGAAUUGUAUUAUCAUAAGGGACAUUCUUGAGCUAACAUACCAUGAGGUGACAGGCUCAAUUUCAGGUUGUACAUGUCCUUUGAAAUAUCCUUGAGGGGGCAUUUCUCUGGAUUGUUGCCCUUUGUAUUGUGGUUUGAUUAUUGUUGAGGAAGGGAGAGACAGGAGCCACACAGAUGGCAAAUCAGGAAACAAAAAGAACACCCUUCUCCUGGGAAGAUGAGCUGGACUGGGGUGGGCAUCAAGAUCCCAAAAGUCAGGUAUCCAGAGGAGAUGAGGCUUCUCUGACUGUUCCUCCCACCCUCACUUCCCUCUCCAUAUUCCUCAGUCAUUGCUUCUUAUUAUGGGUUCAACUUGGAUGUGGAGGAGCCCAUGGUCUUUCAAGAGGAUGGAGUUAGCUUUGGACAGAGUGUGGCCCAGUUUGGCAGAUCGAGGU
RNAcentral lists this long non-coding RNA (1964 nucleotides) under Lynx pardinus (Iberian lynx). Lineage: Eukaryota; Metazoa; Chordata; Mammalia; Carnivora; Felidae. The record is from RNAcentral.